GCGCUGCUGAAGAGUCCCACACCAGGACGAAACGGCCGUUCAGUGC
This 46-nucleotide non-coding RNA is filed under the name Schistosoma mattheei. Lineage: Eukaryota; Metazoa; Platyhelminthes; Trematoda; Strigeidida; Schistosomatidae. The record is from RNAcentral.